This 399-nucleotide ribosomal RNA is filed under the name uncultured bacterium. RNAcentral describes it as "bacterial SSU rRNA". It matches the Rfam family "Bacterial small subunit ribosomal RNA", at positions 358 to 769 of the family's 1533-position model. The record is from RNAcentral.
GGAAUAUUGCACAAUGGGCGAAAGCCUGAUGCAGCAACGCCGCGUGAGGGAUGACGGCCUUCGGGUUGUAAACCUCUUUUAGUAGAGAAGAAGCGAAAGUGACGGUACCUGCAGAAAAAGCACCGGCUAACUACGUGCCAGCAGCCGUGGUAAUACGUAGGGUGCAAGCGUUGUCCGGAAUUAUUGGGCGUAAAGAGCUCGUAGGCGGUUUGUCGCGUCUGCUGUGAAAACUGGGGGCUCAACCCCCAGCCUGCAGUGGGUACGGGCAGACUAGAGUGCGGUAGGGGAGAUUGGAAUUCCUGGUGUAGCGGUGGAAUGCGCAGAUAUCAGGAGGAACACCAAUGGCGAAGGCAGAUCUCUGGGCCGUAACUGACGCUGAGGAGCGAAAGCAUGGGGAGC